GACGAACGCUGGCGGCGUGCCUAAUACAUGCAAGUAGAACGCACAGUUUAUACCGUAGCUUGCUACACCAUAGACUGUGAGUUGCGAACGGGUGAGUAACGCGUAGGUAACCUGCCUGGUAGCGGGGGAUAACUAUUGGAAACGAUAGCUAAUACCGCAUAAUAUUAAUUAUUGCAUGAUAAUUGAUUGAAAGGUGCAAUUGCACCACUACCAGAUGGACCUGCGUUGUAUUAGCUAGUAGGUGAGGUAACGGCUCACCUAGGCGACGAUACAUAGCCGACCUGAGAGGGUGAUCGGCCACACUGGGACUGAGACACGGCCCAGACUCCUACGGGAGGCAGCAGUAGGGAAUCUUCGGCAAUGGACGAAAGUCUGACCGAGCAACGCCGCGUGAGUGAAGAAGGUUUUCGGAUCGUAAAGCUCUGUUGUAAGAGAAGAAACGGGUGUGAGAGUGGAAAGUUCACCACUGGG
Molecule: ribosomal RNA, 471 nt
Filed under: Streptococcus gordonii
Lineage: Bacteria; Bacillati; Bacillota; Bacilli; Lactobacillales; Streptococcaceae
Description: bacterial SSU rRNA
Rfam family: Bacterial small subunit ribosomal RNA
Source: RNAcentral